AUUAAUUAUUCUACAUGGACUUUAUUAUUUAUUCACUUUUGUUGGGCUGAAAAUUUAAUAAAAGCCCAUAGCAAUUUUAUCUUCACCCAUUCAUUUUCACUAUUCUUAAUUUGGGAUAGCAACGUGUUUCCUUCCGUUUAGCCACAAUUUGAUUUACUACUCAGCCACUUAUUUAUUUAACUUUGAAUAGCAUGUACUCUUAUUUAUUAAGUAACCAAAUUAUUAUAUAUCAAAGAUUUCAUAUUAUUUAUCUUCACUGUUCUUUUUUAAAAUUCCUUUUCAAAAUGAAAAUGUGCAAAAAAUCCCAUUUAUCCAACCACAACCGCCAUACUCCUCUUUAUCCCCAUUUAUCACCGCCAUACAUUUUUAUAUAUAUCAGAUUCAUUCACCUAUAGUAUAUUAUUUCAUCCUUUUCUACAUCUACAUCUCUAAUUUGCAAAACGUAAACUUAUCCAGCAAGAAAAUCAAGUUCUUUCCUUCCACUGUAGAGGUGCGGCGCGACUAGGACGUUACUUUUGAUUGAAUUUCUCAAAUUUAGCUUUCAAGUUGAAAUUCAAGUUCAAGUUCAAAAUUCAGGUGUGGGAUUUAUUUCAGUACAUGCCCGUGGUUAAUUCUUGUCCAUUUUAAUAUCAUGUGUUUACCAUAUGUGAGUUGCAUUAAAUUAUAUCGCUAGGGGCCCGCUCAAUGGGUCCAGGACUUCACCGUCCUUGGUAUGCCACAAUGCGAUUUCAUGUUAAAGUUAUGGUUGCAACCAGUCGCCAGGGGCCGGCUCAAUCGGUCCAGGACGGAAAGGUCCUUGGUAUGCCACCGUGCGACUUUCAGUCACGAAUGUAUUGAUCAUAUGUGAUUCUCAUUUUAUUAACGUGUGGGAUUUAUUUCAGUACAUGCCCGUGGUUAAUUCUUGUCCAUUUUAAUAUCAUGUGUUUACCAUAUGUGAGUUGCAUUAAAUUAUAUCGCUAGGGGCCCGCUCAAUGGGUCCAGGACUUCACCGUCCUUGGUAUGCCACAAUGCGAUUUCAUGUUAAAGUUAUGGUUGCAACCAGUCGCCAGGGGCCGGCUCAAUCGGUCCAGGACGGAAAGGUCCUUGGUAUGCCACCGUGCGACUUUCAGUCACGAAUGUAUUGAUCAUAUGUGAUUCUCAUUUUAUUAACGUGGACAAUGAUUGCAUGUU
This is a long non-coding RNA of Salvia miltiorrhiza (redroot sage), 1170 nucleotides long. RefSeq lists it as uncharacterized. The transcript has 3 exons. Lineage: Eukaryota; Viridiplantae; Streptophyta; Magnoliopsida; Lamiales; Lamiaceae. The record is from RefSeq and is a predicted model, not a curated record.